This is a long non-coding RNA of Eriocheir sinensis (Chinese mitten crab), 190 nucleotides long. RefSeq lists it as uncharacterized. The transcript has 3 exons. The record is from RefSeq and is a predicted model, not a curated record. NCBI's taxonomy places the organism in Eukaryota, Metazoa, Arthropoda, Malacostraca, Decapoda, Varunidae.
CAGGGGCCGUCCUCGCUUGCACCACACCUGCCCUGCCCCUCUACGCCCUCUUCGUCAUCUCCAGCUCCCCUCCUCGCUGCUAAGGCGACACAGACCUUCCUCAUCCCAGCCACGCGUCGGUCCCGGGUCGUGGCAGUCAAAACCGUGCACUCAGUUUUUGGUGUCGGUCAACUAUCAGCAAAAAGUCGUC